GGAAGGGGUGUAUUUAUUAGAUAAAAACCCAAUGCCCUUCGGGGCUCUUUGGUGAUUCAUGAUAACUUAACGGAUCGCAUGGCCUUGCGCCGGCGACGGUUCAUUCAAAUUUCUGCCCUAUUAACUUUCGAUGGUAAGGUAUUGGCUUACCAUGGUUUCAACGGGUAACGGGGAAUUAGGGUUCGAUUCCGGAGAGGGAGCCUGAGAAACGGCUACCACAUCCAAGGAAGGCAGCAGGCGCGCAAAUUACCCAAUCCCGACACGGGGAGGUAGUGACAAUAAAUACUGAUACAGGGCUCUUUUGGGUCUUGUAAUCGGAAUGAGUACAAUUUAAACCCCUUAACGAGGAACAAUUGGAGGGCAAGUCUGGUGCCAGCAGCCGCGGUAAUUCCAGCUCCAAUAGCGUAUAUUAAAGUUGUUGCAGUUAAAAAGCUCGUAGUUGAACCUUGGGCCUGGCUGGCUGGUCCGCCUCACCGCGUGUACUGGUCCGGCCGGGCCUUUCCUUCUGGAGAGCCCCAUGCCCUUCACUGGGCGUGCGGGGGAACCAGGACUUUUAC
This 557-nucleotide ribosomal RNA is filed under the name uncultured Ascomycota. Its description in RNAcentral is "SSU rRNA". It matches the Rfam family "Eukaryotic small subunit ribosomal RNA", at positions 194 to 755 of the family's 1831-position model. The record is from RNAcentral. Lineage: Eukaryota; Fungi; Ascomycota.